AUUACUUCUCAGUCUUUUGGCUAAGACCCAGCGUAAUAUCUGUUCUUCUCAGUUUAAUAUUCUACAAUCCUAUAGAAACCAAAACAGCAUGGUACUGGUAUAAAAUUAGACACACGUAUUAAUGAAACAGAAUUGUGAACCCAGA
This 145-nucleotide small nuclear RNA is filed under the name Otolemur garnettii (small-eared galago). Its description in RNAcentral is "U2 spliceosomal RNA". It matches the Rfam family "U2 spliceosomal RNA". From Rfam's summary of the family: U2 is a small nuclear RNA (snRNA) component of the spliceosome (involved in pre-mRNA splicing). Complementary binding between U2 snRNA (in an area lying towards the 5' end but 3' to hairpin I) and the branchpoint sequence (BPS) of the intron results the bulging out of an unpaired adenosine, on the BPS, which initiates a nucleophilic attack at the intronic 5' splice site, thus starting the first of two transesterification reactions that mediate splicing. Lineage: Eukaryota; Metazoa; Chordata; Mammalia; Primates; Galagidae. The record is from Rfam by way of RNAcentral.